UAUAUAAAUUUACUUUCAAAUCCACUUUCAAUUAUUUUUUCAUAAUAAUAUUCAUAUAAAUAAAUUUAAUGUAACUCAUCUCUACUUAAAUAUAAGCUACACCUUGAUCUGAAAUAAAAUUAUUUAUAAAUUUAAGAAAAUUAUUAUUCUUUAAAAAUAUUCUGAUAACGACGGUAUAUAAACUGAUCACAAAUAUAAGUAAGGUCCAACGGGGAUUAUCAAUUAUAGGACAAGUUCCUCUGAAUAGACUAAAAUACCGCCAAAUUUUUUAAGUUUGAAGAACAAAACUAUUAC
Molecule: ribosomal RNA, 294 nt
Filed under: Teleopsis whitei
Lineage: Eukaryota; Metazoa; Arthropoda; Insecta; Diptera; Diopsidae
Description: partial 12S ribosomal RNA
Source: RNAcentral